UACCGCCCCCGGUACCGCCCUGGGACCGCCCCAGAACGGCUCCGGUACCGCCCCAGAGACCGCCCUGGGACCUUUGGUCUUUAGUCAAGAGCACACUAAUUUUGGAGACAUUUUUAAAAUUUAUUAGCUCAUUGCAUAUUACAGACCUAUUACACAUUUUUAAACUUUUCUAUAUAUAUAUUCUAUAUAUAUUCUAUAUAUAUUCUAUAUAUAUUCUCUCUCUAUAUAUAACACAUAUAUAUAUGUAAUAUAUAUAUUUUCUAUAUAUUUUUUUUCUACAUUUAUAAAUUCUAUACAUACCUUUUCUAUUUUUUCUCUUUCAGGAACUGUUUUAUAUGUCUAUUUCUCAAGUCUGCUUUUUGACUGUGAUUUUAAUUUAUUUUUUGUUAUUAAUUUGGGCUGUGCUCUUUAAUUUUUGAGGUUUUUAUAAUACAGUAAUAGGUGUGGGACAAGAUGAUUUUUUUUUUAUUGUUUCUUUUGGUUUUCUUCUUCUUCAUAGUUUCAGGCUGUAGUUUCUGGCUGGACAGUUAGUGCCACACUAAGAGUCAUAAGAAGUUAAUUAUUAAGUUAAAAAUAUAAUUAAUACAAGUGUUAAUUCUCUAUUAGGCUGUUUAGCUUUAAAAAAACCUUGUAGCUAACUAGAUCUGCCUCAAUUUUUCUCACUUUUAACUGGUAGCUAGAAGUUCUGCAGAAGUUUCUGUAUUUUUAAAUAAAAUUUAAUAAACAACCAAGCCCAAGCACGAGAAAAUCCAUUUCCUUUGUGCAUUUUUAAUCCUGGCUCUGAUUAAAGGCAGAGGAGACUCCAGACAAAACACAAAUUUGUUUGGUUUAGUGUUGCCAGGGGGGAGAAUUCCAUCAUUUUUGUCACUUUUAGGAUUUCCAGGGGAGAAUUCCACCAUUUCUGUGGGUUCUGGUGUUACCAGGGGAGCAUCUCACCAUUUUUUUUAAUUCCAGCUUUUAAUGCCAGGAGAGAGUUGGGGGGGGGGGGGGGGGGGGGGGGGGGGGGGGGGGGGGGGGGGGGGGGGGGGGGGGGGGGGGGGGGGGG
This 1045-nucleotide long non-coding RNA is filed under the name Ficedula albicollis (Collared flycatcher). RNAcentral's name for it is "lncRNA (ENSFALG00000027323.1)". The record is from RNAcentral. Lineage: Eukaryota; Metazoa; Chordata; Aves; Passeriformes; Muscicapidae.